AGAGUAUGAUCCUGGCUCAGAUUGAACGCUGGCGGUUUUUUUAACACAUGCAAGUCGAACGGUAACAGCAGGAGCUUGCUCUUGGCUGACGAGUGGCGGACGGGUGAGUAACGCGUGGGAAUCUACCCAAUAGUUCGGGACAACCUGGUGAAAACCAGGCUAAUACCGAAUGUGAUCUACGGAUGAAAGCAGGGGACCUUCGGGCCUUGCGCUAUUGGAUGAGCCCGCGUUAGAUUAGCUAGUUGGUGGGGUAAAGGCCUACCAAGGCGACGAUCUAUAGCUGGUCUGAGAGGACGAUCAGCCACACUGGGACUGAGACACGGCCCAGACUCCUACGGGAGGCAGCAGUGGGGAAUAUUGGACAAUGGGGGCAACCCUGAUCCAGCAAUACCGCGUGUGUGAAGAAGGCCUGCGGGUUGUAAAGCACUUUCAAUUGUGAAGAAAAGAUUAAGGUUAAUAACCUUAGUCCUUGACGUUAACUUUAGAAGAAGCACCGGCUAACUCCGUGCCAGCAGCCGCGGUAAUACGGAGGGUGCGAGCGUUAAUCGGAAUUACUGGGCGUAAAGCGUGCGUAGGCGGUUAUUUAAGUCAGAUGUGAAAGCCCAGGGCUUAACCUUGGAACUGCAUUUGAAACUGGAUAACUAGAGUUUGGUAGAGGUGAGUAGAAUUCCUAGUGUAGCGGUGAAAUGCGUAGAUAUUAGGAGGAAUACCAGUGGCGAAGGCGGCUCACUGGACCAAAACUGACGCUGAGGCACGAAAGCGUGGGGAGCAAACGGGAUUAGAUACCCCGGUAGUCCACGCCGUAAACGAUGUCAACUAGUCGUUGGGUCCUUCGGGACUUAGUGACGCAGCUAACGCGUGAAGUUGACCGCCUGGGGAGUACGGCCGCAAGGCUAAAACUCAAAUGAAUUGACGG
Molecule: ribosomal RNA, 916 nt
Filed under: Lamellisabella denticulata associated bacterium
Lineage: Bacteria
Description: bacterial SSU rRNA
Rfam family: Bacterial small subunit ribosomal RNA
Source: RNAcentral